RNAcentral lists this ribosomal RNA (659 nucleotides) under uncultured bacterium. Its description in RNAcentral is "bacterial SSU rRNA". It matches the Rfam family "Bacterial small subunit ribosomal RNA", at positions 55 to 703 of the family's 1533-position model. The record is from RNAcentral.
AUGCAGUCGAGGGGCAGCGGGAUUGAAGCUUGCUUCAAUUGCCGGCGACCGCGCGCACGGGUGAGUAACGCGUAUCCAACCUUCCGUACACUCAGGGAUAGCCUUUCGAAAGAAAGAUUAAUACCUGAUGGUAUGAUGAGAUUGCAUGAUAUCAUCAUUAAAGAUUUAUCGGUGUACGAUGGGGAUGCGUUCCAUUAGGUAGUAGGCGGGGUAACGGCCCACCUAGCCAACGAUGGAUAGGGGUUCUGAGAGGAAGGUCCCCCACAUUGGAACUGAGACACGGUCCAAACUCCUACGGGAGGCAGCAGUGAGGAAUAUUGGUCAAUGGACGAGAGUCUGAACCAGCCAAGUAGCGUGAAGGAUGAAGGUCCUACGGAUUGUAAACUUCUUUUAUAAGGGAAUAAACCCUCCCACGUGUGGGAGCUUGUAUGUACCUUAUGAAUAAGCAUCGGCUAACUCCGUGCCAGCAGCCGCGGUAAUACGGAGGAUGCGAGCGUUAUCCGGAUUUAUUGGGUUUAAAGGGAGCGCAGACGGGUCGUUAAGUCAGCUGUGAAAGUUUGGGGCUCAACCUUAAAAUUGCAGUUGAUACUGGCGUCCUUGAGUGCGGUUGAGGUGUGCGGAAUUCGUGGUGUAGCGGUGAAAUGCUUAGAUGUCACGAA